GGGAAAAGAGAGAAAGAUGAAGAGAGUAUAUUUGCAGCAGUGGCAGGUGAGGAAACUGCAAUUCACAAAGGUUAAGUGAUUUGUCAACAUCAUCCAGCAAGUGACUGACAACACUGGGAUUUGAAUGGAGCUCUGACUGGUUUGCCUGUUGUCGGCUCAGCCCCGAGAGAAGCACACUGGGCCCACAAAGCUUCCUUUCCAGCUGAGGCUUAGAGGUUGGCCAAUCCAACCUGGAAUCUUGUGCUUCUUUGCCAAACGACGCAGGUGCUCCGGUGGGUCCAGGCCCAUGACUUCGUUGAGUACACAUCCCUGGGAGCAGCAGCCACUAAGAGGUGAUUCUUUGGCCACUACCCAAUUGGGCAACUGCUCGUCUCAGUACAGAACCUGCUUCCCCCUGCUUAUACCUUUUAAAAAGCAUGUUGUUAGGUUCAUACAAAUUUAGAAUUGUUCUAUCUUCCUGGUAAAUUGGAUUUUUAUCAUUAUGAAAUGACCACCCCUCUCCAUUAUGAGAUAUUUUGGGCUUUAAAGUCUAUUUUAUUCUGUAACGAAUCUAGCCAUGUCAGCUUUCUUUUGUUUAGUAUUUGUAUAACAUGCUUUUUCUA
This is a long non-coding RNA of Balaenoptera ricei (Rice's whale), 602 nucleotides long. RefSeq lists it as uncharacterized. NCBI's taxonomy places the organism in Eukaryota, Metazoa, Chordata, Mammalia, Artiodactyla, Balaenopteridae. The record is from RefSeq and is a predicted model, not a curated record. The transcript has 3 exons.